CAGUCGCCGCGGUAAUACGGAGGGGGCUAGCGUUGUUCGGAAUUACUGGGCGUAAAGCGUGCGUAGGCGGCUUCUUAAGUCGGAUGUGAAAUCCCUGAGCUUAACUUAGGAAUUGCAUUCGAUACUGGGAAGCUAGAGUAUGGGAGAGGAUGGUAGAAUUCCAGGUGUAGCGGUGAAAUGCGUAGAGAUCUGGAGGAAUACCGAUGGCGAAGGCAGCCAUCUGGCCUAAUACUGACGCUGAGGUACGAAAGCAUGGGGAGCAAACAGGAUUAGAUACCCCCGUAGUCCCUGUCUCUUAUAC
This 301-nucleotide ribosomal RNA is filed under the name uncultured bacterium. RNAcentral describes it as "partial 16S ribosomal RNA". It matches the Rfam family "Bacterial small subunit ribosomal RNA", at positions 509 to 807 of the family's 1533-position model. The record is from RNAcentral.